GCAUAUCAAUAAGCGGAGGAAAAGAAAAUAACAAUGAUUUCCCUAGUAACGGCGAGUGAAGAGGAAAGAGCUCAAAGUUGGAACCUGUUUGGCCUAGCUAAACCGGAUUGUAGACUGUAGAAGUGUUUUCCAGGCAAGCCGAGUAAAUAAGUCCUUUGGAACAGGGCAUCAUAGAGGGUGAGAAUCCCGUCUUUGGCUUGAGCAUUUGCCUUUUGUGAUACGCUUUCAAAGAGUCAGGUUGUUUGGGAAUGCAGCCUAAAUUGGGUGGUAAAUCUCACCUAAAGCUAAAUAUUGGCGAGAAACCGAUAGCGAACAAGUACCGUGAGGGAAAGAUGAAAAGAACUUUGAAAAGAGAGUUAAACAGUAUGUGAAAUUGUUAAAAGGGAACCGUUUGGAGCCAGACUGGCUUGUCUGUAAUCAAUCUAGGCUUCGGCCUGGAUGCACUUGCAGGCUAUGCCUGCCAACGACAAUUUGACUUGAGGGAAAAAACUAAGGGAAAUGUGGCCCACUUGUGGGUGUUAUAGUCCCUUAGAAAAUACCUUGGGUUGGAUUGAGGAACGCAGCGAAUGCUUUUUGGCGAGUUUUCCAGGAAGGUUUUCUGAGGUACUACGGUAUCAAGGUUGAUCUUUUUGGUUAUACUUCUAUUCGCUUAGGUUGUUGGCUUAAUGACUCUAAAUGACCCGUCUUGAAACACGGACCAAGGAGUCCACCAUUAGUGCGAGUAUUUGGGUGCCAAACCCAUAUGCGUAAGGAAACUGAUUGAUACGAAUCCAUUAAGGAGGCAGUAUCGUCCGGCGCUGACGUUUUAUACUGAAUUGACCGAGACAAAGCACUAAUGAUGGGACCCGAAAGAUGGUGAACUAUGCCUGAAUAGGGUGAAGCCAGAGGAAACUCUGGUGGAGGCUCGUAGCGAUUCUGACGUGCAAAUCGAUCGUCAAAUUUGGGUAUAGGGGCGAAAGACUAAUCGAACCAUCUAGUAGCUGGUCC
Molecule: ribosomal RNA, 987 nt
Filed under: Rhizopus delemar
Lineage: Eukaryota; Fungi; Mucoromycota; Mucoromycetes; Mucorales; Rhizopodaceae
Description: LSU rRNA
Rfam family: Eukaryotic large subunit ribosomal RNA
Source: RNAcentral